RNAcentral lists this ribosomal RNA (491 nucleotides) under uncultured bacterium. RNAcentral's name for it is "partial 16S ribosomal RNA". It matches the Rfam family "Bacterial small subunit ribosomal RNA", at positions 29 to 507 of the family's 1533-position model. The record is from RNAcentral.
AGUGAACGCUGGCGGUAGGCCUAACACAUGCAAGUCGAACGGCAGCACAGUAAGAGCUUGCUCUUACGGGUGGCGAGUGGCGGACGGGUGAGGAAUACAUCGGAAUCUACUUUUUCGUGGGGGAUAACGUAGGGAAACUUACGCUAAUACCGCAUACGACCUACGGGUGAAAGCAGGGGAUCUUCGGACCUUGCGCGAUUGAAUGAGCCGAUGUCGGAUUAGCUAGUUGGCGGGGUAAAGGCCCACCAAGGCGACGAUCCGUAGCUGGUCUGAGAGGAUGAUCGGCCCCGCUGGAACGGAAACCCGGUCCGGACUCCAACGGGGGGCAGCAGUGGGAAAUAUUGGACAAUGGGCGAAAGCCGGACCCGGCCAUACCGCGUGGUUGAAGAAGGCCUCGGGGUUGUAAAGCCCUUUUGUGGGGAAAAAAAAGCGGCAGGUCAAUACCCCGCUUUUCGAACGGAACCAAAGAAUAAGCACCGGCUAACUUCGUG